CCGGUUCCGACGCCCUACCCCCUCUCGUAGCCCUCGUAUAGCCCACUCUCUCCAGAUCUCGCUCGUCUCCCCUGGUCCCGCCUCGCCGUCGGUAACGAUGAACCGCCACCGCCGUGGCAUCUUCGACGGCCUCCCGAUUCCGGCCGACAAAUCUUACCUGAAGGAAGGGCUGUCGCGGAUCGACGAGGGAUGGGCCGCGGCGCGGUUCGACUCGCUGCCGCACGUCGUGCACAUCCUCACCUCGAAGGACCGCGAUGGCGAGAUCCAGUUCCUCAAGGAGCAGAGCGACCUCAUCGAGGACGUCGUUGACGAGGUCGUCCACGCGUACCACCAUGGUUUCAACAAGGCCAUCCAGAACUACUCCCAGAUCCUGCGGCUGUUCAGCGAGUCCGCCGAGAGCAUCACCGGCCUCAAGGGGGAGAUGUCAGAGGCCAAAAAGCUGCUUGGGAGGAAGAAUCAGCACCUUGGGCAGCUAUGGUACAGGUCCCUCACGCUGCGCCACGUGAUCUCCCUGCUGGAUCAGGUUGAGGAUGUUGCCAAGGUUCCUGCUCGGAUUGAAAACUUGAUGGCAGAGAAGCAGCUAUACGCCGCAGUGCAGUUGCAUGUUCAGUCAAUGCUGAUGCUAGAGCGGGAAGGCCUUCAAGCGGUAGGUGCUCUUCAAGAUGUUCGAUCUGAUCUAACAAAGCUGCGUGGUGCACUGUUCUACAAAAUUUUGGAAGAGCUGCAUUGCCACCUAUACAACAAUGGUGAAUAUAGCUUGGUGACUUUAAGCAUGGUUGACAGUGAGGACAUACCAACUUCUGGAGCCACUGGUCGCUUAGUAAACAGCAUGCAGCCUCUGUCCAGGAGAACAAUGUCUAUUAAAGGUGAAAAUCACUUUAGUGGACCAGCUACUGCAGAUGGGAUAACAAAAACUAGUUCUGUUGGAUGUUCUUCAUUUGAUGGCCCAGAUGAUGAUAGUAGCUUAGGUGGUGGGUGUGGUCGGAAGGAUUCCAAAAGUUUCUCUUGUGAAAUUCCGAUUUUCCUUUCUUGCGCUACACCAGACGAGUUCCUUGAAUCAAUGAGAAAGGCAGAUGCUCCCCUCAAUGUGAAAUACUUAAGAACAUUGGUGCAAUGCUUAUCCAUGCUUCAAAAGGUUGCAGCUGCUGGAGCUGUGAUAUGCCAAAGAGUUCGCCCGACAAUUCAUGAUGUUAUCACUUCAAAGAUUAAAUCAUAUGCUAGAGAGGCUUCAAAGUCCAAUAUAGAUAAAGUUGCAAAAAGAACGGCAUCGGAUGUGUCACAUUCACAUGGAGCUGUCACCCGUUACCAACUACCUAAACAGAAAAAGAAGAAUGAGGCAUCGACAUUGGCAACACAACUUGUUGCUAGUCCCAUCUCUCCAGUUAUGGCACCCACAGGAGAUGCUCAGCAUGCAGCUAGUCAGCUUCUUGGUUCAAUAUUUGAGUGUCUAGUAGGCAUACUUGAGAACCAUAUUACUGUUGGAGAGCUUCUUGAACAAAAAUCAUCAACUGACGUUGACAGUGUAAACACACCUCAUGUGGCAAAUGGGGACACAAGCUGGAAUCCAGAUUCUGAAUACUCCCAACCUACUGGUGGUUUUAGUGUUGCAUUCUCUCUGUCAGUUGUUCAGAGCGAGUGCCAGCAACUUCUGUGUGAAAUUUUGCGGGCAACUCCAGAAGCUGCUACUGCAGAUGCAGCUGUUCAGACAGCUAGGCUUGCAAAUAAGGACCCAGUGAAGGAAAAGAGGGAUGGAUCAGAAGGCCUUUCUUUUGCUUUUCGCGUUACAGAUGCAGCAAUCUCUGUGCAAAAUGAAGGUCAAGGAUGGAGAAGAAACCCAGCUGUACCCCAAGAAGGGUAUGGAACAGCAAGCAUCAUACCUGAUCAAGGGAUUUUCCUAGCUGCAUCAGUUUACCGUCCUGUCUUUGAGUUUAUGAAUAAAAUAGGAUUGAUGCUUCCUCGAAAGUAUUCACAACUUGGGAAUGAUGGCUUAUUGGCUUUUGUGAACAACUUCUUGAAGGAGCACUUCUUGCCAGCAAUAUUUGUAGACUAUAGAAAAUGUGUUCAGCAGGCUAUAUCUAGUCCAGCAGCAUUUAGACCACGUGUAAAUGCAACCUCAGUAUAUAGCUCACUAGUGGAGAAUGGCCGCCCUGUACUACAAGGGCUUCUGGCUGUUGAUAUAAUUGCCAAAGAGGUUCUUGGUUGGGUUCAAUUGAUGCCGAUCUAUGCUGCUGAGCUUGUUGAGUAUGUUCGCACCUUUCUGGAACGUACACACGAAAGAUGCCGGGCAUCAUAUAUGGAGGCUGUUCUUGAGAAACAAAGUUAUAUUCUCCUCUCACGGAGUGAUGUUGAAAGUUUAAUGCGCCUGGACCCUGCAAAUGCUUCUUUGCAAAAGUCUUUCGGUCAACUUGAUAACGACAUUCCAGAUGCAGGAAUUGAAGUGGAGAUUGAACUAAGUGACCUCCUAUUGGAUAUGUGCCCGAUAAAACAGGAAAACUUGAUCCAUGAUGACCAGAAAUUGAUAUUGCUGGCAUCUCUUAGCGACUCCUUAGAAUAUUUAGCAGAUUCAGUUGAAAGGCUUGGUGAGUCAUUUAUAAGUCCAUCCACCAUCUCAGAAAACAAAAGUGACAUACACCAAAGUCACCGUACUCGCACAACUAGUGCAAUUCCGAAAAGCCUUGCGUCUCUUGCUAAUGAGUACAGAAGGCUAGCAACCGAUUGUGUUAGAGUCUUGAGAUUGGAAAUGCAGUUGGAGACAAUAUAUCACAUGCAGGAAAUGACAAAAAGAGAAUAUGUAGAAGAUCAAGACGCUGAAGAUCCUGAUGACUUCAUCAUCUCUCUUACAACUCAGAUUGCACGUAGGGAUGAAGAAAUGGCUCCUUACAUCGCAGAAUCGAAAAGGAACUAUGUAUUUGGUGGGAUUUCUAGUGUUGCUGCUAAUGCAUCAAUAAAGGCACUCGCACUAAUGAAGUCCAUCAACCUGUUGGGAGUUCAACAAAUAUGCAGAAACUCGAUAGCACUAGAACAGGCACUUGCAGCCAUACCUUCCAUUGAUAGUGAGGCAGUCCAACAGAGAUUAGAUCGUGUUCGGACAUUCUAUGAGCUACUAAACCUGCCUUUCGAGUCUUUGCUUGGGUUCAUUGCUGAACAGGAAUAUUUUUUUUCUGCAAAAGAAUACUUGAGCAUACUAAAGGUCAAUGUACCUGGUAGAGAGAUACCAAUGGAUGCUGAACGACGUAUCUCACAGAUUUUGAGUCAUUAAAUUGAAUUGGGCAAGAUGAUUUUAGCUUGUAGGUAAUGUGUUAUUUGUUGUCUCAUUCACUGUAAAUUUGUAGUGCUUUGACUGGAACGCUCAUUCUUGAUUGUUGUAAAUGUGUAAUCUUUUGGACGUAAUUUUAAUAAAAUUCUCAGAUUCAUGUGUU
Molecule: ribosomal RNA, 3419 nt
Filed under: Triticum aestivum (bread wheat)
Lineage: Eukaryota; Viridiplantae; Streptophyta; Magnoliopsida; Poales; Poaceae
Description: partial small subunit ribosomal RNA
Source: RNAcentral